GUAGUUGUGUCCGAGUGGUUAAGGAAACAGGCGAAAAACCCUGGCAAUCGUCUGGGGGGUUUAUUCCCCACAUGGGUUCGAAUCCCAUCAACUACC
Non-coding RNA from Nephila pilipes (giant wood spider), 96 nucleotides. The record is from the annotation of a GenBank genome assembly. Lineage: Eukaryota; Metazoa; Arthropoda; Arachnida; Araneae; Nephilidae.